This 240-nucleotide unclassified non-coding RNA is filed under the name soil metagenome. RNAcentral's name for it is "partial contains 5.8S ribosomal RNA, internal transcribed spacer 2, and large subunit ribosomal RNA". The record is from RNAcentral.
AACAUCGCGCACCUGCGGGAACCUGCGGAGGGAUCAUUACCGAGUGUGAACCCCCCCGUAAAAAAGAGGGGUUACCUCCCGUCCUUUGCUGGGAACCCCUUUCCAACUUGGAAGGAGGUUGUUUUCAGACCCUUCUGCUUCGGUGGGGUAACCCACCGGAACAACCUCAAAAAUAUUCUCAAUUCAAAACCGUUCAGUCCGAGAACUUUUUUGAAAAGCGAAAAAACUUUCAGCAACGGA